This 474-nucleotide ribosomal RNA is filed under the name uncultured bacterium. RNAcentral's name for it is "partial 16S ribosomal RNA". The stretch from base 18 to 334 matches the Rfam family "Bacterial small subunit ribosomal RNA", at positions 45 to 393 of the family's 1533-position model. The record is from RNAcentral.
AACGAACGCUGGCGGCAUGCCUAACACAUGCAAGUCGAACGAGACCUUCGGGUCUAGUGGCGCACGGGUGCGUAACGCGUGGGAACCUGCCCUUAGGUUCGGAAUAACUCCCCGAAAGGGGUGCUAAUACCGGAUAAUGUCUUCGGACCAAAGAUUUAUCGCCUUUGGAUGGGCCCGCGUUGGAUUAGCUAGUUGGUAGGGUAAAAGCCUACCAAGGCGACGAUCCAUAGCUGGUCUGAGAGGAUGAUCAGCCACACUGGGACUGAGACACGGCCCAGACGACGACGGGAGGCAGGAGUGGAAAAUAGGGCACAGUGGAGGAAAGGAUGACCCAGAAGUGGGGAAGGAGUGAAGAAGGAGUGAGGGUUAUAAUGAUAUUUUACGGGGGAAGAAAAUGAAAGAACGGGGAGAGUAAGCGCCAGCAAACGCAGUCACAGCAGAAGGGGAAAGAGUAGGAAGAGAACACGUAUGAAA